Molecule: ribosomal RNA, 460 nt
Filed under: uncultured bacterium
Lineage: Bacteria
Description: partial 16S ribosomal RNA
Rfam family: Bacterial small subunit ribosomal RNA
Source: RNAcentral
CCUACGGGCGGCAGCAGUGAGGAAUAUUGGUCAAUGGGCUUACGCCUGAACCAGCCAAGUCGCGUGAGGGAAGACUGCCCUAUGGGUUGUAAACCUCUUUUGUCAGGGAGCAACGCCGGCUACGUGUAGCCGGACUGAGAGUACCUGAAGAAAAAGCAUCGGCUAACUCCGUGCCAGCAGCCGCGGUAAUGCGGAGGAUGCGAGCGUUAUCCGGAUUUAUUGGUGUAAAAGGGUGCGUAGGCGGAAUGCCAAGUCAGCGGUAAAAUCGCGGGGCUCAACCUCGCUCCGCCGUUGAAACUGGCGUUCUUGAGUGGGCGAGAAGUAUGCGGAAUGCGUGGUGUAGCGGUGAAAGGCAUAGAUAUCACGCAGAACUUCGAUUGCGAAGGCAGCAUACCGGCGCCCAACUGACGCUGAAGCACGAAAGCGUGGGGAUCGAACAGGAUUAGAUACCCGGGUAGUC